RNAcentral lists this ribosomal RNA (256 nucleotides) under uncultured bacterium. RNAcentral's name for it is "partial 16S ribosomal RNA". It matches the Rfam family "Bacterial small subunit ribosomal RNA", at positions 524 to 776 of the family's 1533-position model. The record is from RNAcentral.
UACGUAGGGUGCAAGCGUUGUCCGGAAUCAUUGGGCGUAAAGCGCGCGUAGGUGGCUUCGUAAGUCCGUUGUGAAAGUCAAAGGCUCAACCUUUGAAAAGCCGAUGGAUACUGCGGAGCUAGAGUACGGAAGAGGCGAGUGGAAUUCCUGGUGUAGCGGUGGAAUGCGCAGAUAUCAGGAGGAACACCAAUAGCGAAGGCAGCUCGCUGGGACGUUACUGACACCGUAAGGCGCGAAAGCGUGGGGAGCGAACAGG